UUUCCGUAGGUGAACCUGCGGAAGGAUCAUUAAAAAUAUCACAUUUUGUAUGUGAUUUAAUAAUCAUCUACCUUUGUGAAUUUGUUUUUGUUUUGAAAUUUAUGUUGUCUAUCCUAGAUUUGGAAAAGUGUUUGUAAAAAGACUUUUUCAUUCUAGGAAUAGGUUUCAUAGACAUUUUUUAAAUUAAACUUUUGUAUUCAUUGUCUAAAUUUAUUUUUAAUAAUUUAAAAACAACUUUUGACAAUGGAUUCUUGGUUCUCGCAACGAUGAAGAACGCAGCAAAAUGCGAUAAGUAAUGUGAAUUGCAGAAUACGUGAAUCAUCAAAUUUCGAACGCAUAUUGCACUUUUUUAGUUUACUAAAAAGUAUGUCUGUUUGAGUAUCAGUAAAAUAUUCUCAUAAAACAUUUUUGUUUUUAUGGUUAUGAGUGUUUACAACGAUACAAGUUGUUUCACUUAAAUUGAUUUUUUAAAAAGCAAUUUGUUUAUUUAUUAAAAUUGGAUAAAAUUUCCCGUAAAAAGGAAUAACUUUCAGUUUAAAAUAAAUCUAAAUUGACCUUGAAAAAGAAAUUUAAUUAUAACUAACUUGAUCUCAAAUCAGAUAAGAUACCCGCUGAACUUAAGCAUAUCAAUAAGCGGAGGAAAAGAAACUAACAAGGAUUCCUUAGUAACGGCGAGUGAAGCGGGAAGAGCUCAAAUUUGAAAUCUUCAAGGUUUACCUUGACGAAUUGUAGUUUAAAGAAGUGUUUUCUGUUAGUGGUGAAAAGUUCUUUGGAAUAGGACAUCAUAGAGGGUGAGAAUCCGUAUUUGUCAUUCCUUCUAGCUUUGUGAUACACUUUCAAAGAGUCGGAUUGUUUGGGAAUGCAGUCCAAAAUGGGUGGUAAAUUUCAUCUAAAGCUAAAUAUUGGCGAGAGACCGAUAGCGAACAAGUACCGUGAGGGAAAGAUGAAAAGAACUUUGAAAAGAGAGUUAAACAGUACGUGAAAUUGUCAAAAGGAAGCGUUUGACACCAGUGUUGUUUUUCGAAAAUCAAUUAUAAAUGUUUGUUUUGAGGAGUGAUGACUUCAUCGGCUUCCUCUUCUCAGACUUUUUAAUGCACUUUUCGUUAACAAGUCAACAUCAAUUUCUUUUGUUGUAAAAGGUAUUGGAAGGUGGCUUUCUUUUCGGAGAAAGUGUUUAUAGCCUAUACUCUACAAUCGGAGAGAUGAGGUCUGCAGCGUAGAUCUUCGGGUUAGAUACAUUGUGCUAAGUUAUAGCUUUCAUAGACAACUUGUUGACUAUGUUUAGUCUUGUACUUACCGCUUGUGCUAUUUUACCUACGCUUAGGAUGUUGA
This 1332-nucleotide unclassified non-coding RNA is filed under the name uncultured Neocallimastigales. Its description in RNAcentral is "partial contains small subunit ribosomal RNA, internal transcribed spacer 1, 5.8S ribosomal RNA, internal transcribed spacer 2, and large subunit ribosomal RNA". The stretch from base 586 to 1332 matches the Rfam family "Eukaryotic large subunit ribosomal RNA", at positions 1 to 629 of the family's 3401-position model. The record is from RNAcentral. Lineage: Eukaryota; Fungi; Neocallimastigomycota; Neocallimastigomycetes; Neocallimastigales.